This 523-nucleotide ribosomal RNA is filed under the name uncultured bacterium. RNAcentral describes it as "bacterial SSU rRNA". It matches the Rfam family "Bacterial small subunit ribosomal RNA", at positions 971 to 1494 of the family's 1533-position model. The record is from RNAcentral.
UUACCACCCCUUGACAUGUAUAGUAUGGUUUCCAGAGAUGGAUUCCUUCAGUUCGGUUGGCGAGAACACAGGUGUUGCAUGGCUGUCGUCAGCUCGUGUCGCGAGAUGUUGGGUUAAGUCCCGCAACGAGCGCAACCUUUGCCUUUAGUUGCCAUCAUUUAGUUGGGCACUCUAGAGGGACUGCCGGUGAUAAGCCGGAGGAAGGUGGGGAUGACGUCAAGUCCUCAUGGCCCUUACGGGUUGGGCUCCCCCCGUGCUACAAUGGCGGCGACAAUGGGCAGNGAAGGGGCGACCCGGUGCAAAUCCCAAAAAGCCGUAUCAGUUCGGAUUGUACUCUGCAACUNGAGUGCAUGAAGGUGGAAUCGCUAGUAAUCGCGUAACAGCAUGACGCGGUGAAUACGUUCCCGGGCCUUGUACACACCGCCCGUCACACCAUGGGAGUUGGUUUUACCCGAAGCUGCUGCGCUAACCGCAAGGAGGCAGCCAACCACGGUAAGGUCAGCGAUUGGGGGAAGAAUAACAA